AACAGCUAGCACAUUGCUCAGGAUGCAGCUGCUUGUCCAGAGGGGUGUGAAGGGAAGGCGGACAGGCACCAGGGAGGCAGUCUACAAACUGAGUGCACUGCUUACACAGGAGGAAACUGACAAAGAGGCCCCAGAGGAGGCAGAUUCUAGCCUGCAGCUUCCCCAUCCCUCAAAGCAUGCAGGUUAUGCUUCUUGGGAAGAGUGAAAAAUCACUUCUGUGAUGUUCCUGCCAGAGAUGCAAAACUGAAAUCUAAUCACGAGGAGCCGUCACAUAAACCCAAUUUGAGGAACCUUCUACAAAACAACUGGCCUGUAACCUGGUUGCAGAGAGGAAAGGAGGAAAUUUUUCGAUAGAAAAAUCUUGGAGAUCCUGUUGCUGUCACCCAUCGGGCUGUUGGAAGCUGGGGUUAGUCCAGAAGUCUUCAGGUAAUGCCAGGGUGUUGCCCUGGCCAGGAACUCUCAGUUGCCUCUGAACUUCUUCCAGCCCCACAUGAUGGCUAAGCUCUCCAUGAAAGGAGACCAGUUGGAAACAAAGCCAACAUUCCCAGCACCCUGAGGGCACUGAAGGAUUGGCUAAGUUCUCCCCGGCAAGCCUGUUCCCUGAGAAAAUGGAGGACAGAGUCCUUAAAAUGAAAGAGCUGGGGUCUGUGCCUAUACUCACUCUUUCAAUGAAUCUACGUCGGAUCCCAGGCAGGCCCCCACAAUGAAGUGGUGUUGUUCAACUGAGGUAAUACCCAAGGUUCGUUGUCUCAUGGCCACAGAAAACUAGGACUCGGACACACCAGAGUGAGGUUAAGAGCAGAAGUUUAAUAGGCAAAAGAAAGAGAAAAGCUCUCUCUGUUGCAGAGAGAGGGGUCCUGGCGAAAAUGGGUUGCCCCCAAGUUCAUUCUUGUUGUUCGCAAUGUUCAGCGUCUUGCGGUUGUGGGACUGACCGUAACAGACGAUUUUUUUGUUGGCUAGAAGCCACCUGCAUUCCUUGAUGUGUGGCCCCUCCAUCUUCAAGUGAGCAAUGGUGUUUUGAAUCCUCCUUAUGCUUCAUGUCUUUGACUUCCUCUUCUGUGACCAACCGGGAAAAACUCACUGCUUUAAAAGGGCUCUUAGGAUUAGAUCAGGUACUGUGUUAGUUCACUUUUGCAUUGCUAUAAAGAAAUACCUGAGGCUGGGUGAUUUAUAAAGAAAAG
Molecule: long non-coding RNA, 1181 nt
Filed under: Homo sapiens (human)
Lineage: Eukaryota; Metazoa; Chordata; Mammalia; Primates; Hominidae
Description: HSALNT0399097
Source: RNAcentral